CACUCCUGCGGGAGGCAGCAGUGGGGAAUUUUGGACAAUGGGCGAAAGCCUGAUCCAGCAAUGCCGCGUGAGUGAAGAAGGCCUUCGGGUUGUAAAGCUCUUUUGUCAGGGAAGAAACGGUGAAAGCUAAUAUCUUUUGCUAAUGACGGUACCUGAAGAAUAAGCACCGGCUAACUACGUGCCAGCAGCCGCGGUAAUACGUAGGGUGCAAGCGUUAAUCGGAAUUACUGGGCGUAAAGCGUGCGCAGGCGGUUUUGUAAGUCUGAUGUGAAAUCCCCGGGCUCAACCUGGGAAUUGCAUUGGAGACUGCAAGGCUAGAAUCUGGCAGAGGGGGGUAGAAUUCCACGUGUAGCAGUGAAAUGCGUAGAUAUGUGGAGGAACACCGAUGGCGAAGGCAGCCCCCUGGGUCAAGAUUGACGCUCAUGCACGAAAGCGUGGGGAGCAAACAGGAUUAGAAACCCCUGUAGACCCAUGA
This 475-nucleotide ribosomal RNA is filed under the name uncultured organism. RNAcentral's name for it is "partial 16S ribosomal RNA". It matches the Rfam family "Bacterial small subunit ribosomal RNA", at positions 334 to 800 of the family's 1533-position model. The record is from RNAcentral.